This 717-nucleotide ribosomal RNA is filed under the name Corynebacterium pseudotuberculosis. RNAcentral's name for it is "bacterial SSU rRNA". It matches the Rfam family "Bacterial small subunit ribosomal RNA", at positions 216 to 942 of the family's 1533-position model. The record is from RNAcentral. Lineage: Bacteria; Bacillati; Actinomycetota; Actinomycetes; Mycobacteriales; Corynebacteriaceae.
CGGUACGAGAUGAGCCCGCGGCCUAUCAGCUUGUUGGUGGGGUAAUGGCCUACCAAGGCGUCGACGGGUAGCCGGCCUGAGAGGGUGGACGGCCACAUUGGGACUGAGAUACGGCCCAGACUCCUACGGGAGGCAGCAGUGGGGAAUAUUGCACAAUGGGCGCAAGCCUGAUGCAGCGACGCCGCGUGAGGGAUGACGGCCUUCGGGUUGUAAACCUCUUUCGACAGGGACGAAGCUUUUUGUGACGGUACCUGUAUAAGAAGCACCGGCUAACUACGUGCCAGCAGCCGCGGUAAUACGUAGGGUGCGAGCGUUGUCCGGAAUUACUGGGCGUAAAGAGCUCGUAGGUGGUUUGUCGCGUCGUCUGUGAAAUUCCGGGGCUUAACUCCGGGCGUGCAGGCGAUACGGGCAUAACUUGAGUGCUGUAGGGGAGACUGGAAUUCCUGGUGUAGCGGUGGAAUGCGCAGAUAUCAGGAGGAACACCGAUGGCGAAGGCAGGUCUCUGGGCAGUAACUGACGCUGAGGAGCGAAAGCAUGGGGAGCGAACAGGAUUAGAUACCCUGGUAGUCCAUGCCGUAAACGGUGGGCGCUAGGUGUGAGGGUCUUCCACGACUUUCGUGCCGUAGCUAACGCAUUAAGCGCCCCGCCUGGGGAGUACGGCCGCAAGGCUAAAACUCAAAGGAAUUGACGGGGGCCCGCACAAGCGGCGGAGCAUGU